This 497-nucleotide ribosomal RNA is filed under the name uncultured bacterium. RNAcentral's name for it is "partial 16S ribosomal RNA". It matches the Rfam family "Bacterial small subunit ribosomal RNA", at positions 28 to 507 of the family's 1533-position model. The record is from RNAcentral.
GAUGAACGCUGGCGGCGUGCCUAAUACAUGCAAGUCGAGCGAACGGACGAGAAGCUUGCUUCUCUGAUGUUAGCGGCGGACGGGUGAGUAACACGUGGAUAACCUACCUAUAAGACUGGGAUAACUUCGGGAAACCGGAGCUAAUACCGGAUGAUAUUUUGAACCGCAUGGUUCAAAAGUGAAAGACGGUCUUGCUGUCACUUAUAGAUGGAUCCGCGCUGCAUUAGCUAGUUGGUAAGGUAGCGGCUUACCAAGGCAACGAUGCAUAGCCGACCUGAGAGGGUGAUCGGCCACACUGGAACUGAGACACGGUCCAGACUCCUACGGGAGGCAGCAGUAGGGAAUCUUCCGCAAUGGGCGAAAGCCUGACGGAGCAACGCCGCGUGAGUGAUGAAGGUCUUCGGAUCGUAAAACUCUGUUAUUAGGGAAGAACAUAUGUGUAAGUAACUGUGCACAUCUUGACGGUACCUAAUCACAAAGCCACGGCUAACUACGUG